Molecule: ribosomal RNA, 669 nt
Filed under: Salmonella enterica subsp. enterica serovar Muenster
Lineage: Bacteria; Pseudomonadati; Pseudomonadota; Gammaproteobacteria; Enterobacterales; Enterobacteriaceae
Description: partial 23S ribosomal RNA
Rfam family: Bacterial large subunit ribosomal RNA
Source: RNAcentral
AGACCCGAAACCCGGUGAUCUAGCCAUGGGCAGGUUGAAGGUUGGGUAACACUAACUGGAGGACCGAACCGACUAAUGUUGAAAAAUUAGCGGAUGACCUGUGGCUGGGGGUGAAAGGCCAAUCAAACCGGGAGAUAGCUGGUUCUCCCCGAAAGCUAUUUAGGUAGCGCCUCGUGAAUUCAUCUCCGGGGGUAGAGCACUGUUUCGGCUAGGGGGCCAUCCCGGCUUACCAACCCGAUGCAAACUGCGAAUACCGGAGAAUGUUAUCACGGGAGACACACGGCGGGUGCUAACGUCCGUCGUGAAGAGGGAAACAACCCAGACCGCCAGCUAAGGUCCCAAAGUCAUGGUUAAGUGGGAAACGAUGUGGGAAGGCCCAGACAGCCAGGAUGUUGGCUUAGAAGCAGCCAUCAUUUAAAGAAAGCGUAAUAGCUCACUGGUCGAGUCGGCCUGCGCGGAAGAUGUAACGGGGCUAAACCAUGCACCGAAGCUGCGGCAGCGACACUCAGGUGUUGUUGGGUAGGGGAGCGUUCUGUAAGCCUGUGAAGGUGUGCUGUGAGGCAUGCUGGAGGUAUCAGAAGUGCGAAUGCUGACAUAAGUAACGAUAAAGCGGGUGAAAAGCCCGCUCGCCGGAAGACCAAGGGUUCCUGUCCAACGUUAAUCGGGGCA